UAUUGACAGAACUCUUCGGAGGGAAGAUGAUAAGUCUUAGUGGCGGACGGGUGAGUAAUGCAUGAGCAACUUGCCUUUCAGAGGGGGAUAACACAUCGAAAGGUGUGCUAAUACCGCAUGAAAUGACGGGAUCGCAUGAUCCUGUUAUCAAAGGAGCAAUCCGCUGAAAGAUGGGCUCAUGUCUGAUUAGAUAGUUGGUGAGGUAACGGCUCACCAAGUCGACGAUCAGUAGCCGGACUGAGAGGUUGAACGGCCACAUUGGAACUGAGAGACGGUCCAGACUCCUACGGGAGGCAGCAGUGGGGAAUAUUGGGCAAUGGGCGCAAGCCUGACCCAGCAACGCCGCGUGAAGGAAGAAGGUCUUCGGAUUGUAAACUUUUGUCUUAUGGGACGAUAAUGACGGUACCAUAGGAGGAAGUCACGACUAACUACGUGCCAGCAGUCGCGGUAAUACGUAGGUGGCAAGCGUUAUCCGGAAUUAUUGGGUGUAAAGGGUGCGUAGGCGGGAUGUAAAGUCAGAUGUGAAAUGCCGCAGCUUAACUGCGGAGCUGCAUUUGAAACUUAUGUUCUUGAGUGAAGUAGAGGCAAGCGGAAUUCCUAGUGUAGCGGUGGAAUGCGUAGAUAUUAGGAGGAACACCGGUGGCGAAGGCGGCUUGCUGGGCUUUUACUGACGCUGAGGCACGAAAGUGUGGGGAGCAAACAGGAUUAGAUACCCUGGUAGUCCACACCGUAAACGAUGAUUACUAGGUGUAGGUCGGCUGAACCGAUCUGUGCCGGAGUUAACACAAUAAGU
This 793-nucleotide ribosomal RNA is filed under the name uncultured bacterium. RNAcentral describes it as "bacterial SSU rRNA". It matches the Rfam family "Bacterial small subunit ribosomal RNA", at positions 65 to 865 of the family's 1533-position model. The record is from RNAcentral.